GGUGCCGACGCCGCACCUCUCUGCCCUAGCGCCGGGCCGCCGUACCUCUCUGCCCUAGCGCCGGGCCGCCGUCGAGCCCUAGUUCUCCGGCCGACUCUUCCUUCCCGAGCCGCACCAGGCGAUGCCAUCACUUGAGGCCGGACGGAGCAGUGCAUACCCCUACUUCAAUUGCCCAGAUUCGGUAGCCAAUUUGUUCCUCUGCCUAGUGUCAGUAAACAAGCCUUCUUCCCUCUGUAUUGUCGUCGGCCACAAGAUUUCGAGCAUCAACAGAUUUCUAUAGCCUAUUGACAGAGAGGAAGAAGAUUUGGCAGCAAUAUACCUUUGCUGGCAACAACAAACCGUGUGUGUGGAUCAACAAUCAAGGCUGUGAAUUUAGGUUGAUGCUGUCAAGAGGG
Long non-coding RNA from Zingiber officinale, 395 nucleotides. RefSeq lists it as uncharacterized. The transcript has 3 exons. Lineage: Eukaryota; Viridiplantae; Streptophyta; Magnoliopsida; Zingiberales; Zingiberaceae. The record is from RefSeq and is a predicted model, not a curated record.